This 348-nucleotide unclassified non-coding RNA is filed under the name soil metagenome. RNAcentral describes it as "partial contains 5.8S ribosomal RNA, internal transcribed spacer 2, and large subunit ribosomal RNA". The stretch from base 1 to 120 matches the Rfam family "5.8S ribosomal RNA", at positions 35 to 154 of the family's 154-position model. The record is from RNAcentral.
GAUGAAGAACGCAGCGAAAUGCGAUAAGUAAUGUGAAUUGCAGAAUUCAGUGAAUCAUCGAAUCUUUGAACGCACAUUGCGCCCGCCAGUAUUCUGGCGGGCAUGCCUGUCCGAGCGUCAUUUCAACCCUCGAACCCCUCCGGGGGGUCGGCGUUGGGGAUCGGCCCUUUACGGGGCCGGCCCCGAAAUACAGUGGCGGUCUCGCCGCAGCCUCUCCUGCGCAGUAGUUUGCACACUCGCAUCGGGAGCGCGGCGCGUCCACAGCCGUUAAACACCCAACUUCUGAAAUGUUGACCUCGGAUCAGGUAGGAAUACCCGCUGAACUUAAGCAUAUCAAUAAGCGGAGGA